UUUGACACGACAUUGCUCACAUUGCUUCCAGUGUAAUUUAUAGCUUUAUGGCAAAGCACCUCAUUC
Vibrio tubiashii ATCC 19109 is the source of this 66-nucleotide non-coding RNA. Lineage: Bacteria; Pseudomonadati; Pseudomonadota; Gammaproteobacteria; Vibrionales; Vibrionaceae. The record is from Rfam.